UACAGAGGGUGCGAGCGUUAAUCGGAAUUACUGGGCGUAAAGCGUGCGUAGACGGUUAUUUAAGUCGGGUGUGAAAGCCCCGGGCUCAACCUGGGAAUUGCAUUCGAGACUGAAUAGCUAGGGUACGGGAGAGGGAAGCGGAAUUCCGGGUGUAGCGGUGAAAUGCGUAGAUAUCCGGAGGAACACCGGUGGCGAAGGCGGCUUCCUGGACCGACACUGACGCUGAGGCGCGAAAGCUAGGGGAGCGAACAGG
Molecule: ribosomal RNA, 253 nt
Filed under: uncultured bacterium
Lineage: Bacteria
Description: partial 16S ribosomal RNA
Rfam family: Bacterial small subunit ribosomal RNA
Source: RNAcentral